RNAcentral lists this ribosomal RNA (644 nucleotides) under uncultured Alphaproteobacteria bacterium. Its description in RNAcentral is "partial 16S ribosomal RNA". It matches the Rfam family "Bacterial small subunit ribosomal RNA", at positions 801 to 1436 of the family's 1533-position model. Lineage: Bacteria; Pseudomonadati; Pseudomonadota; Alphaproteobacteria. The record is from RNAcentral.
UAACCGAUUGAAGUGNCANNCGAUUAGUGGGNNUACUNAUCUANNNNCGCAGCUAACGCUUUAAGGCAUUCCGGCNUGGNGAGUACGGUUCGCCAAGNUUAAAACUCAAAGGAAUNGACCGNNGGCCCGCACAAGCGGUGGAGCAUGUGGUUUAAUUCGACGCAACGCGAAGAACCUUACCAGCCCUUGACAUCCCGGUCGCGGAUUCCAGAGACGGAAUCCUUCAGUUCGGCUGGACCGGAGACAGGUGCUGCAUGGCUGUCGUCAGCUCGUGUCGUGAGAUGUUGGGUUAAGUCCCGCANNGAGCGCAACCCCCGUCCUUAGUUGCUACCAUUUAGUUGAGCACUCUAAGGAGACUGCCGGUGAUAAGCCGCGAGGAAGGUGGGGAUGACGUCAAGUCCUCAUGGCCCUUACGGGCUGGGCUACACACGUGCUACAAUGGCGGUGACAAUGGGACGCUAAGGGGCAACCCUUCGCAAAUCUCAAAAAGCCGUCUCAGUUCGGAUUGGGCUCUGCAACUCGAGCCCAUGAAGUUGGAAUCGCUAGUAAUCGUGGAUCAGCAUGCCACGGUGAAUACGUUCCCGGGCCUUGUACACACCGCCCGUCACACCAUGGGAGUUGGUUUUACCUGAAGACGGUGCGCU